Molecule: ribosomal RNA, 465 nt
Filed under: Vreelandella stevensii
Lineage: Bacteria; Pseudomonadati; Pseudomonadota; Gammaproteobacteria; Oceanospirillales; Halomonadaceae
Description: partial 16S ribosomal RNA
Rfam family: Bacterial small subunit ribosomal RNA
Source: RNAcentral
CCUACGGGUGGCUGCAGUGGGGAAUAUUGGACAAUGGGCGAAAGCCUGAUCCAGCCAUGCCGCGUGUGUGAAGAAGGCCUUCGGGUUGUAUAGCACUUUCAGUGGGGAAGAAAGCCUUGGGGCUAAUACCCUCGAGGAAGGACAUCACCCACAGAAGAAGCACCGGCUAACUCCGUGCCAGCAGCCGCGGUAAUACGGAGGGUGCGAGCGUUAAUCGGAAUUACUGGGCGUAAAGCGCGCGUAGGCGGUCUGAUAAGCCGGUUGUGAAAGCCCCGGGCUCAACCUGGGGACGGCAUCCAGAACUGUCAGGCUAGAGUGCAGGAGAGGAAGGUAGAAUUCCCGGUGUAGCGGUGAAAUGCGUAGAGAUCGGGAGGAAUACCAGUGGCGAAGGCGGCCUUCUGGACUGACACUGACGCUGAGGUGCGAAAGCGUGGGUAGCAAACAGGAUUAGAUACCCCAGUAGUC